AGUCAGAUUUGUAAUCCUGGAGAUUUCCUGUCCUGAGAGUUUUGUAACUGUGCUGUCAUUGGCCUGUCAAAUGAUGACAGUUACCUUUCCUUACCAUCUCUUUCUAAAUCCAAAGUAGCUUAAUUUGCCAUAGCAAGGGCACUGCAUAAUCUCCGAAUCAAGCUCGGAGAUAAAAAAUUUGAAGCAUCUUUUGAGUAGUUUUGAUCUACUGCACCUAACGGGAAAUGCUUUCUGUGUCUUUUCAGGAAAUGCCUGUAUGCUACCACAGAAAAGUACUUCCAGGGGAAGAACAAGAAAUGCUGCAAACUGUCCUGUUAAUUCUAGACACUCUGCUGAGCAAAGAGUCAGCAGAACAUCAAAACAAAAGCCUCCACAUGUUGCCACUGCAAUUGAGACAGAAGGUGUUGAUCAAGAGACUGAUCGAGACAUAGUAAGUCCUUGGACUGUGCCUGAUGAUAUCCAAAGAAUACUUCAAGAUACACAUGACUCCUUGUUUCAGGCCUCUGCGCUGCAUCCUGUGAGUCUCUCUCCCAUUGGAGACGUUAUCGACACAGAUGGUGUUUCUGAAAGCACGGGAAGUAUCCUCAGCAAACUGGACUGGAAUGCAAUUGAGGCUAUGGUAGCAGAUGUGGAAGACACGUGAACAAAAUCUCGCAGCUGCUGAGCAGUUUCAAACAGCUUCUCAUGUUUGGUUUCAUUUUUUAAAAUAAUUGAGGCUUGCAUUGGUAUUUUUCUUAAGCAGCACGGAAGCUCUCUACUUUCAGUCUUGCCUUGAUGAAAUUCAAUUCCUAAACAUGUAGUUUGCUUUCUUUCAAAGGUCUUCAAACCAGCAAGCACUAAAUGCUGUUGGUAAAUGCUGACCAUGUCUUUAGCCAAGAUGGAGAUUCUUGUUUCUUUGCCACUCUCAAAUACAUAAAAUUUUUAUUCUAAGAGCACCGCACAACUGUUUUACAUUUGUAUUUAAUAUCAUUAUGGAUUAAGUUAUUUUUGUAAAUUAACAAUUGUGAUAAACUGAUUUAAUAAAAGUGAGUUUAUUAGUUUCUGCUAUAAA
This 1051-nucleotide long non-coding RNA is filed under the name Athene cunicularia (burrowing owl). RNAcentral describes it as "lncRNA (ENSACUG00000013324.1)". The record is from RNAcentral. Lineage: Eukaryota; Metazoa; Chordata; Aves; Strigiformes; Strigidae.